This 65-nucleotide transfer RNA is filed under the name Cryptocotyle lingua. RNAcentral describes it as "tRNA-Lys". It matches the Rfam family "tRNA". Rfam says of the family: Transfer RNA (tRNA) molecules are approximately 80 nucleotides in length. Their secondary structure includes four short double-helical elements and three loops (D, anti-codon, and T loops). The record is from RNAcentral. Lineage: Eukaryota; Metazoa; Platyhelminthes; Trematoda; Opisthorchiida; Heterophyidae.
UCGUAGGUAGCUUAAUAAUUAAAGCUUCGGAUUCUUACUCCGGUGAUGUCUUUGGACACUAUGAG